UAAAUGAAAGGCAGGCAAUGCCAAACUAAAGUUCAAGUUAAUAAAUCCUCUCUCAAAAUACAAAGCUCUCUCAAAGACACAAACUAAGAAAAACAUAUGGAAAAAUCGAAAAUACAAUCAGAUAUCUUAGAUAGCAUGACAAAUCAAGAGGCAAAGGUUGAUAAAAGACAUGGAAUUUUGGCCCUCCUAACUACACACGUCAAUAGUGCAGCGUCAUUCUAUGGUACGAGGAGCGGACAAAAAAAAGUAAAAAAAUCCUAACAGUAGUGCGUUCAUUUACGAAAUACGUAAAGACACAGGUAUUCAGGAUCAUCAAUAGAAGUUUCGUUGAUACAUCGAAGAGUUCGAGUUAGCUAUGGUGAGCCUCCUUACUUCCGGAGGAUUUCAUUUACUUUUCAGUUUAGUUAAGAUGUCGUGGGUCUUGUCCCGACUUUUCUGUUUAUCAGUUAGAGGCUUCAUAAAUAGUCAAUAUAGUUGAGGAGUCUGUAUUAAUCAUUUAUUUUAUUAAAUGUAUCAAAGACUAAAGUUGUCUAUUUUAUGGCUAGUUGAAUAUAUUAUUCUUAUUAAAAUUUGUACAUUUGAUUUAAAACUUUGUAAA
Molecule: long non-coding RNA, 598 nt
Organism: Solanum lycopersicum (tomato)
Lineage: Eukaryota; Viridiplantae; Streptophyta; Magnoliopsida; Solanales; Solanaceae
Source: RefSeq, a predicted model, not a curated record